This 335-nucleotide unclassified non-coding RNA is filed under the name soil metagenome. RNAcentral's name for it is "partial contains 5.8S ribosomal RNA, internal transcribed spacer 2, and large subunit ribosomal RNA". The stretch from base 1 to 120 matches the Rfam family "5.8S ribosomal RNA", at positions 35 to 154 of the family's 154-position model. The record is from RNAcentral.
GAUGAAGAACGCAGUGAAAUGCGAUAAGUAGUGUGAAUUGCAGAAUUCAGUGAAUCAUCGAAUCUUUGAACGCACAUUGCGCCCUUUGGUAUUCCUUAGGGCAUGCCUGUUCGAGCGUCAUUUAAACCUUCAAGCUCAGCUUGGUGAUGGGUGACUGUCCUCCCCUCGCGGGGGGACUCGCCUCAAAAACAUUGGCGGCCGGUACAUUGGCUUCGAGCGCAGCAGAAACGCGGUCUCGAGUCCGGUGGAUCGGCUCCCAUAAGUCUAUUCUUUUAUUUUGACCUCGGAUCAGGUAGGGAUACCCGCUGAACUUAAGCAUAUCAAUAAGCGGAGGA